RNAcentral lists this ribosomal RNA (567 nucleotides) under Bombus morio. Its description in RNAcentral is "partial 16S ribosomal RNA". It matches the Rfam family "Bacterial large subunit ribosomal RNA", at positions 1800 to 2647 of the family's 2925-position model. Lineage: Eukaryota; Metazoa; Arthropoda; Insecta; Hymenoptera; Apidae. The record is from RNAcentral.
CUGUUUAUCAAAAACAUGGCUUGAAGAUUAUAAUUUUAAGUCAAUCUGCCCAAUGAUUAUAAAAUUAAAUGGCUGCAGUAUAACUAACUGUACAAAGGUAGCAUAAUCAAUUGUUUUUUAAUUGAAAACUUGUAUGAAAGAAUUAAUGAGAUAUAUACUGUCUCAUAUAUAUAAAAUGAAUUUAAAUUUUUAGUAAAAAUGCUUAAAUAAUUUUAUGGGACGAUAAGACCCUAUAGAAUUUUAUAUUAAAAUUUUAUUAAUUAUUUAGUUAAAAUUUUAAUAUUUAGUUGGGAGGAUUAGUAAAUAAAAUUAACUUUAUUUUAAAAAUAAACUUUGAUUUAAGAAUAAAAUUUUGAUCUUAUAUUAUAAAUUAAAAGAAUAAAUUACCUUAGGGAUAACAGCGUAAUAUCUUUUUAAAGAUCAUAUUAAUAAAGAUGUUUGCGACCUCGAUGUUGAAUUAAGAUAAAUUUUAAAUGAAGAAAUUUAAAAAUUAAGUCUGUUCGACUUUUAAAAUCUUACAUGAUUUGAGUUCAAAUCGACGUGAGUCAGAUUGGUUUCUAUCUAUAA